Molecule: non-coding RNA, 245 nt
Filed under: Clostridium sp.
Lineage: Bacteria; Bacillati; Bacillota; Clostridia; Eubacteriales; Clostridiaceae
Also listed under: 1 other name
Description: GlcN6P sequence
Rfam family: glmS glucosamine-6-phosphate activated ribozyme aptamer
About the family: This entry contains a glucosamine-6-phosphate activated ribozyme that is found in the mRNA for GlmS. GlmS is an enzyme that uses fructose-6-phosphate and glutamine to generate glucosamine-6-phosphate. The ribozyme catalyses self cleavage of the glmS mRNA that is thought to regulate GlmS activity.
Source: RNAcentral
UUUAAAUUUAAAGCGCCAGGACUUAAGUGGAGUUUUAAAUCUGUGGCAAUAAACGGAUUUUGAAUGAAACUUCGCUAAUGCGGAGUAAGUUUGCCUAGACCAAAUCAUAGAUUUGGAGGCUCACUCAAGUUGACGAGGAUGGGGAGUAUCGAAUCUUCGGCGGGUGCCCCACGGUAUCGCACUACCGUUAACGGCUUAUAAAAUCUAAAAGUGAUUUUAGGCACAAAAUAAGCUAGGUGUUAAAA